UCUGCCUUCAAGUAGGGAAUAACAUUGCGAAAGCGAUGCUAAUACCGUAUAAGCUCACGAUUUGACUGGUUGUGGGAAAAGAUGGCCUAGUCUAUGCUAUCGCUUGAAGAUGAGUCCGCGUACCAUUAGCUUGUUGGUAGGGUAAUGGCCUACCAAGGCUUCGAUGGUUAGCUGGCCUGAGAGGGCGGCCAGCCACACUGGGACUGAGACACGGCCCAG
RNAcentral lists this ribosomal RNA (219 nucleotides) under uncultured bacterium. RNAcentral describes it as "partial 16S ribosomal RNA". It matches the Rfam family "Bacterial small subunit ribosomal RNA", at positions 125 to 334 of the family's 1533-position model. The record is from RNAcentral.